GGGAGCUUGCUCCUGGAUUCAGCGGCGGACGGGUGAGUAAUGCCUAGGAAUCUGCCUGGUAGUGGGGGAUAACGUCCGGAAACGGGCGCUAAUACCGCAUACGUCCUGAGGGAGAAAGUGGGGGAUCUUCGGACCUCACGCUAUCAGAUGAGCCUAGGUCGGAUUAGCUAGUUGGUGGGGUAAAGGCCUACCAAGGCGACGAUCCGUAACUGGUCUGAGAGGAUGAUCAGUCACACUGGAACUGAGACACGGUCCAGACUCCUACGGGAGGCAGCAGUGGGGAAUAUUGGACAAUGGGCGAAAGCCUGAUCCAGCCAUGCCGCGUGUGUGAAGAAGGUCUUCGGAUUGUAAAGCACUUUAAGUUGGGAGGAAGGGCAGUAAGUUAAUACCUUGCCGUUUUGACGUUACCAACAGAAUAAGCACCGGCUAACUUCGUGCCAGCAGCCGCGGUAAUACGAAGGGUGCAAGCGUUAAUCGGAAUUACUGGGCGUAAAGCGCGCGUAGGUGGUUCAGCAAGUUGGAUGUGAAAUCCCCGGGCUCAACCUGGGAACUGCAUCCAAAACUACUGAGCUAGAGUACGGUAGAGGGUGGUGGAAUUUCCUGUGUAGCGGUGAAAUGCGUAGAUAUAGGAAGGAACACCAGUGGCGAA
RNAcentral lists this ribosomal RNA (649 nucleotides) under uncultured Pseudomonas sp. RNAcentral describes it as "bacterial SSU rRNA". It matches the Rfam family "Bacterial small subunit ribosomal RNA", at positions 74 to 719 of the family's 1533-position model. The record is from RNAcentral. Lineage: Bacteria; Pseudomonadati; Pseudomonadota; Gammaproteobacteria; Pseudomonadales; Pseudomonadaceae.